GCUGGGUGUGGUGGUGCACACCUGUAAUCCCAACAGCUUGGGAGGCUAAGGCAGGAGGAUCGCAAAUUCAAAGCCAGCCCCAGCAAAUUAGUGAGGGCCUAAGCAACUCAACUAGACCCUGUCUCUAAGAUAUAAGCAGAAAGGCUGGGGAUGUGGUUUAGGGAUUGAGUGAUCCUCCUGCCUCAG
Molecule: small RNA, 186 nt
Filed under: Marmota monax (woodchuck)
Lineage: Eukaryota; Metazoa; Chordata; Mammalia; Rodentia; Sciuridae
Source: RNAcentral